GAUUUUUCAGCUUUUAUCAAAGCUUUAGCUUUCUGUUAUCAUUUGUUUCUUCUUUCACUGCUUUUUGCAGAAUGUAGAAAUGAAGAUCAAGUCUGUAAUAUAGCUAAGCUAUUAAUUUUUUUGAUCUCAUUGAAUACUCCUUUAUCAAUUUGGAGAAUAAAGAAUCAUGUCUUCCCAAUAGCCCUGCUGGUGUGUCAUAUUCAGCUAUUCUUCCUGUUUAAGGACAAGGAAUUAGAAGCAACGUACAAAAUAAAGAGAUCUAGGUGCAUUAAAAUUUUACCUUCAUUCAAGACCAAGACAAAAUCACUAUCAAUGACUCUGUGGAUUCUGUGAGCUAUCGUGAUGACUGUUUGAUUUCUGAACUCUUGACUGAUAAUCUUUU
This 382-nucleotide unclassified non-coding RNA is filed under the name Hevea brasiliensis (rubber tree). The record is from RNAcentral. Lineage: Eukaryota; Viridiplantae; Streptophyta; Magnoliopsida; Malpighiales; Euphorbiaceae.